RNAcentral lists this long non-coding RNA (1421 nucleotides) under Canis lupus familiaris (dog). Its description in RNAcentral is "lncRNA (ENSCAFG00845004142.1)". Lineage: Eukaryota; Metazoa; Chordata; Mammalia; Carnivora; Canidae. The record is from RNAcentral.
UUUUCAUUGUAUUGGUAUUUACCUGCCCCUCAUCCUCUCCCACGUUUGCUUUUCCAGGGCAGCCUCUUCAACACGGCUUCAGAAGCCGGGCAAAUUAAAAUAACGAGCCCGCUCCCCCGCGAGUUGCGGGGGCAGAGCUGCUGGCCUGGCCCCGGUCGGACUCCCACCGGCCUCCUUCGGGGGUUCCGAGUCUCUCUCUUUUCCUGCCCUCGGAUUACAUGACGUUAUUAGACAGUAUGUUUAAAAAUCUUAUUUAAAGAAAUGAGACCCCAUCUGCCUGAAAACCGAGACCAAGCCCGUUUGGUACAACCACAACGCGGAGCUCUCCGGCGCCAGGAGGAGGCCCGAGGAGGCCCCGAGGUUCGCAGCCCCAGGCCCCGAGCCCACCUGGGACACCUCUCCCUGAGGAUCCAGGGCGAGUGACCAAACAGCAAGUACAAUUCUGAGAACUGUGGAACUUCAUCCUUUCAUGUUAAGAUUCUCCUGUGUUUUCUUGAUGGAAUUGUGUAUUUAAAUCUUGCAAUCACCGCUGGGAAGCGAGCUGUAUCAUCUUGAGAAAUCAGACCACAGAGCUGGGCCUGCAGCUGGCAGGCUGGGUCAUCUUUAAUCGCUUAACCCUUCAUAUCAAAGGAUGGGUCGUAGCAGCAGAUUCCUCCUCAAGAAUUUGCCAUGGCAGAUUUUCUCAAGGAAGAUCUGGGAGUUAAAAUGAAGCAGAGUGUGUACAGCAAAAACCUUGCCUUGAAGGCAGAGUAUUUAUAUUUCUACCAAACUCCCAAGAAGCUGACCUUCGAAUCUGCACUGUCAUUGCUAAGGUCUUUUCCUGCCCACCCAGUGGCUAUGCCAAGUGGCUGGACUGGCCAUCACCAUGGUGCCUGAGAGUGAGAAUGACUGCUUCCUUAACAUAUUUGAAGAGCUAACCAGUCACUGGCUGGGAACAUUGGGAUGAGGAAGACCUAGUGUGAAUAUGAUCCAAAGCUGCCCAUGGAGUGAAUGAGAACAGAGGCCUGGAGGGACUGACUUACCUCAUGGAAAGUUCCAGAAGGAGAUUCAGGUCUGUGAGUAAAGUGCAGUGCCCCACUGGUACAAUAAUCACAGGACACAUUCCAGCAAUCUGGGCUGAAUCAGCAAUGGAGUACUGGGACAGAUAGCACUUAAUGAAUACAGAUGGAAAGUGUGUCUAAAGACACAGGAAGAGCUGAUAGCUCGGGACCUCCCCUUUGGUAUCUAGAAGGGUAAUUCCACGAAUCAAGAAGCACCUUGCCCUAGGAGGGGCUGGGCUAGCUUUCUUCCUCCCUUCCUCCUUUACUCCUUCAUCAGAUAACAUCAAAUAGCAACCAAUAGCUCUGCUGGGUCCUGGGGCAAUCUGGUGAACAAACAGACAAAAUUCUUGGAGCUCAGAGGGGAGCAAACUAAAAAUAACA